Molecule: ribosomal RNA, 497 nt
Filed under: uncultured bacterium
Lineage: Bacteria
Description: partial 16S ribosomal RNA
Rfam family: Bacterial small subunit ribosomal RNA
Source: RNAcentral
GAUGAACGCUGGCGGCGUGCCUAAUACAUGCAAGUCGAGCGGACGGACGAGAAGCUUGCUUCUCUGAUGUUAGCGGCGGACGGGUGAGUAACACGUGGAUAACCUACCUAUAAGACUGGGAUAACUUCGGGAAACCGGAGCUAAUACCGGAUAAUAUUUUGAACCGCAUGGUUCAAAAGUGAAAGACGGUCUUGCUGUCACUUAUAGAUAUAACCGCGCUGCAUUAGCUAGUUGGUAAGGUAACGGCUUACCAAGGCAACGAUGCAUAGCCGACCUGAGAGGGUGAUCGGCCACACUGGAACUGAGACACGGUCCAGACUCCUACGGGAGGCAGCAGUAGGGAAUAUUCCGCAAUGGGCGAAAGCCUGACGGAGCAACGCCGCGUGAGUGAUGAAGGUCUUCGGAUCGUAAAACUCUGUUAUUAGGGAAGAACAUAUGUGUAAGUAACUGUGCACAUCUUGACGGUACCUAAUCAGAAAGCCACGGCUAACUACGUG